This 406-nucleotide ribosomal RNA is filed under the name uncultured bacterium. RNAcentral describes it as "bacterial SSU rRNA". It matches the Rfam family "Bacterial small subunit ribosomal RNA", at positions 355 to 775 of the family's 1533-position model. The record is from RNAcentral.
UGAGGAAUUUUCUGCAAUGGGCGAAAGCCUGACAGAGCAAUACCGCGUGAGGGAAGACGGCCCGAGGGUUGUAAACCUCUUUUGUCAAGGAGGAAGUUCUGACGUGUACUUGACGAAUAAGCAUCGGCUAACUCCGUGCCAGCAGCCGCGGUAAGACGGAGGAUGCAAGUGUUAUCCGGAAUUACUGGGCGUAAAGCGUCUGUAGGUGGUUUGCUAAGUCUGCUGUUAAAGCUUGAAGCUCAACUUCAAAAAUGCAUCAGAAACUAGUAGACUUGAGUGUGGUAGGGGCAGAGGGAAUUUCCAGUGAAGUGGUGAAAUGCGUAGAUAUUGGAAAGACCGCCAAAGGCGAAGGCACUCUGCUGGGCCAUAACUGACACUGAGAGACGAAAGCUAGGGGAGCAAAUGG